RNAcentral lists this ribosomal RNA (2959 nucleotides) under human gut metagenome. Its description in RNAcentral is "bacterial LSU rRNA". It matches the Rfam family "Bacterial large subunit ribosomal RNA". The record is from RNAcentral.
UGAAGAUAUUAAGGGCACACGGUGGAUGCCUUGGCAUAGGAAGCCGAAGAAGGACGUGGCAAGCUGCGAAAAGCCGCGGUGAGGCGCAAACAGCCUCUGACCCGCGGAUCUCCGAAUGGGGGAACCCGGCUGGGGGAAUGCCCAGCCACGGCAGGGUGAAUGCAUAGCCCUGCCCGAGGCAACCCGGGGAACUGAAACAUCUAAGUACCCGGAGGAAAGGAAAUCAACCGAGACUGCGCGAGUAGCGGCGAGCGAAAGCGCAACAGCCUAAACCCGUGCGCGUGUAAGCCUCCAGGCGUUGCCGCACGUGGGGUCGUGGGACUCUCCGUCCCGUCGCUGGAGCGGCGGGGUCGGGUCAGAAACCGACGGUUCAGGGGAACCGGCUGGGAAGCCGGGCGAGACAGGGUGAGAGCCCCGUACCCGAAGGACCGUCGGCCCGAGAGAGAGCGCCCGAGUAAUGCCGGACACGUGAAACCCGGUAUGAACCAGGGGGGACCGCCCUCCAAGGCUAAGCACUCUCCUAUGACCGAUAGCGAACCAGUACCGUGAGGGAAAGGUGAAAAGCACCCCGAGAGGGGAGUGAAACAGUACCUGAAACCGUGUGCCUACAAGCAGUCGGAGCACCCUUUGCGGUGUGACGGCGUGCCUUUUGUAGAAUGAGCCAGCGAGUUGCGGUUGGCGGCGAGGUUAAGGCAUGAACCGAGCCGCAGUGAAAGCGAGCCUUUAAGAUGGCGCUCAGUCGCCAGCCGCGGACGCGAAGCCGGGUGAUCUAUCCAUGGGCAGGCUGAGGCAGAGGUAAGACUCUGUGGAGGGCCGAACCCACUUCGGUUGAAAACGGAGGGGAUGACCUGUGGAUAGGGGUGAAAGGCCAAUCAAACCCGGAGAUAUCUCGUUCUCCCCGAAAUAGCUUUAGGGCUAGCCUCGAUCGCUUACCCGCGGUGGUAGAGCACUGGAUCCGUGAGGGGGCCUCAACAGCCUACCGACCGAAACCAAACUCCGAAUGCCGCGGGUCCCGAGAUCGGGAGUCAGAACAUGUGGGCUAAGCCGUGUGUUCGAGAGGGAAACAGCCCAGACCGCCUGCUAAGGUCCCCAAAUCAACGCUGAGUGGCAAAGGAUGUGCGUUUGCCUAGACAACCAGGAUGUUGGCUUAGAAGCAGCCAUGCAUUUAAAGAGUGCGUAACAGCUCACUGGUCAAGUGGACAUGCGCCGACAAUACACGGGGCUAAGCGUUGUACCGAAGCAGCGGACUGUUUUAUCAGUGGUAGGGGAGCUUUCCAUGCCGGGCCGAAGCGGAGAGGCGACUCUCCGUGGACUGCAUGGAAGUGAGAAUGCUGGCAUGAGUAACGAGAGAGGGGCGGGAAACCCCUCCGCCGUAAGCCUAAGGUUUCCUGGGCAAGGCUAAUCCCCCCAGGGUCAGUCGGGAGCUAAGGCGAGGCCGAGAGGCGUAGCCGAUGCGCAACAGGCGGACAUUCCUGUACCACCAGCCAUCGUUUGACGACGGGGCGACGGAGAAGGGUAGCCGGGCGGGGUUCUGGACGUCCCCGUGAAAGCGCGUAGGGAGCGGCUCAGGCAAAUCCGAGCCGCGCAUGUCCCGAGACGCGAGACGAAGCUUUUAGUGAAGCCGGCGAGCCCAUGCUUCCAAGAAAAACCCCUAAGGAGAGGGGCUGGUGCCCGUACCAAAACCGACACAGGUAGGCGGGUAGAGCAUACCAAGGCGAUCGGGAGAACCAUGGUUAAGGAACUCGGCAUACCGACCCCGUAACUUAGGGAGAAGGGGUGCCCCCGGGGGUGGAAGGACUUGCUCCUCGAGCCCGUGGGGGUCGCAGUGAAGAGGCCCAAGCGACUGUUUACCAAAAACACAGGACUCUGCCAAGCCGCAAGGCGAAGUAUAGGGUCUGACGCCUGCCCGGUGCUGGAAGGUUACGCGGAUGAGUUAGCGCAAGCGAAGCCCUGAAGCCAAGCCCCAGUAAACGGCGGCCGUAACUAUAACGGUCCUAAGGUAGCGAAAUUCCUUGUCGGGUAAGUUCCGACCUGCACGAAUGGCGUAACGACUUGGGCGCUGUCUCAACCAUGGACCCGGUGAAAUUGUAUUAUUCGUGAAGAUGCGAAUUACCUGCGGAAGGACGGAAAGACCCCGUGAACCUUUACUGCAGCUUGGCAUUGGCUGUUGGUGCGGUGCGUAGAGGAUAGGCAGGAGCCUGCGAACCGGGGACGCCAGUUCCCGGGGAGGCGACCUUGGAAUACUGCCCUCACCGCAUCGGCAGCCUAACGCGCCGCCCUCAUCGGGGGCGCGGACCGUGCCAGGUGGGUAGUUUGACUGGGGCGGUCGCCUCCUAAACUGUAACGGAGGCGUGCUAAGGUUCGCUCAGGGCGGUCGGCAAUCGCCCGCAGAGCACAAGAGUACAAGCGAGCCUGACUGCGAGACCAACAAGUCGAGCAGAGACGAAAGUCGGUUCUAGUGAUCCGGCGGCCCGGCGUGGAACGGCCGUCGCUCAACGGAUAAAAGGUACUCCGGGGAUAACAGGCUGAUCUUGCCCAAGAGUCCACAUCGACGGCAAGGUUUGGCACCUCGAUGUCGGCUCAUCGCAUCCUGGGGCUGUAGCAGGUCCCAAGGGUUGGGCUGUUCGCCCAUUAAAGCGGUACGCGAGCUGGGUUCAGAACGUCGUGAGACAGUUCGGUCCCUAUCCUCCGUGGGCGCAAGAGAAUUGAGAGGAUCUGUCCCUAGUACGAGAGGACCGGGAUGGACGCACCUCUGGUGCCGCAGUUGUCGACCAACGGCACAGCUGCCUAGCUACGUGCGGUACGGAUAACCGCUGAAAGCAUCUAAGCGGGAAGCCGGCCUCGAGAUGAGUUCUCUUUUCGGUAAGGCCACUUCUAGACCAGGAGUUCGAUAGGCCGCAGCUGCAAGCCCUGCGAGGGGCUCAGGCGAGCGGUACUAAUCGGCCGAGCUCUUCAUCAA